Long non-coding RNA from Chelonia mydas (Green sea turtle), 108 nucleotides. RefSeq lists it as uncharacterized. The record is from RefSeq and is a predicted model, not a curated record. NCBI's taxonomy places the organism in Eukaryota, Metazoa, Chordata, Testudines, Cheloniidae. The transcript is spliced from 2 exons.
CCGAAGGCAGGAUCCCCGACCCUGAAGCUGGAGAAGGCACCUCUGGUACAAAUGUUUCUAGGCUUCCCCUACCAUCUCUGUCCCUGAGGUUAUCACAGAUUAGAAGGC